CUUAGAGUUUGAUCCUGGCUCAGGAUGAACGCUAGCGACAGGCUUAACACAUGCAAGUCGAGGGGCAGCAUGAUUUGUAGCAAUACAGAUUGAUGGCGACCGGCGCACGGGUGAGUAACGCGUAUGCAACUUACCUAUCAGAGGGGGAUAGCCCGGCGAAAGUCGGAUUAAUACCCCAUAAAACAGGGGUCCCGCAUGGGAAUAUUUGUUAAAGAUUCAUCGCUGAUAGAUAGGCAUGCGUUCCAUUAGGCAGUUGGCGGGGUAACGGCCCACCAAACCGACGAUGGAUAGGGGUUCUGAGAGGAAGGUCCCCCACAUUGGUACUGAGACACGGACCAAACUCCUACGGGAGGCAGCAGUGAGGAAUAUUGGUCAAUGGCCGAGAGGCUGAACCAGCCAAGUCGCGUGAAGGAAGAAGGAUCUACGGUUUGUAAACUUCUUUUAUAGGGGAAUAAAGUGGAGGACGUGUCCUUUUUUGUGUGUACCCUAUGAAUAAGCAUCGGCUAACUCCGUGCCAGCAGCCGCGGUAAUACGGAGGAUGCGAGCGUUAUCCGGAUUUAUUGGGUUUAAAGGGUGCGUAGGUGGUGAUUUAAGUCAGCGGUGAAAGUCUGUGGCUCAACCAUAAAAUUGCCGUUGAAACUGGGUUACUUGAGUGUGUUUGAGGUAGGCGGAAUGCGUGGUGUAGCGGUGAAAUGCAUAGAUAUCACGCAGAACUCCGAUUGCGAAGGCAGCUUACUAAACCAUAACUGACACUGAAGCACGAAAGCGUGGGGAUCAAACAGGAUUAGAUACCCUGGUAGUCCACGCAGUAAACGAUGAUUACUAGGAGUUUGCGAUACAAUGUAAGCUCUACAGCGAAAGCGUUAAGUAAUCCACCUGGGGAGUACGCCGGCAACGGUGAAACUCAAAGGAAUUGACGG
This 920-nucleotide ribosomal RNA is filed under the name uncultured bacterium. RNAcentral describes it as "bacterial SSU rRNA". It matches the Rfam family "Bacterial small subunit ribosomal RNA", at positions 1 to 916 of the family's 1533-position model. The record is from RNAcentral.